AGUCAGUCACAAAUGUUCGUGGUAAGAUGAGGUUUGAUUUUGUGUAGGAUGUAUGCGGAUAGGCUGACUGUGGGUUAUGCCAAUGAGCUCGAAACAAUAUUCAGGUGCAGAAAUAUUAAAGGUUAAAGAUUCAAAGACACAAAGUAACGAACGGGGAAUAUUACGACGUUUUAAAACAGAACAAUUUAUCAUUGCACCAAAAGAAAUUCGUCAAGUGCCAGGUUUUUAUCACUGAGGGAGAUGGAGGCCUAUCAAGUCUAGAGUAG
This is a non-coding RNA of Styela clava, 266 nucleotides long. The record is from RefSeq and is a predicted model, not a curated record. NCBI's taxonomy places the organism in Eukaryota, Metazoa, Chordata, Ascidiacea, Stolidobranchia, Styelidae.